This 245-nucleotide ribosomal RNA is filed under the name uncultured bacterium. RNAcentral's name for it is "partial 16S ribosomal RNA". It matches the Rfam family "Bacterial small subunit ribosomal RNA", at positions 524 to 768 of the family's 1533-position model. The record is from RNAcentral.
UACGUAGGGUGCGAGCGUUAAUCGGAAUUACUGGGCGUAAAGCGUGCGCAGGCGGUUUCGUAAGACAGAUGUGAAAUCCCCGGGCUUAACCUGGGAACUGCAUUUGUGACUGCGAGACUAGAGUGCGGCAGAGGGGGGUAGAAUUCCACGUGUAGCAGUGAAAUGCGUAGAUAUGUGGAGGAAUACCGAUGGCGAAGGCAGCCCCCUGGGUCGACACUGACGCUCAUGCACGAAAGCGUGGGGAG